This 347-nucleotide unclassified non-coding RNA is filed under the name soil metagenome. RNAcentral describes it as "partial contains 5.8S ribosomal RNA, internal transcribed spacer 2, and large subunit ribosomal RNA". The stretch from base 1 to 120 matches the Rfam family "5.8S ribosomal RNA", at positions 35 to 154 of the family's 154-position model. The record is from RNAcentral.
GAUGAAGAACGCAGUGAAAUGCGAUAAUUAAUGUGAAUUGCAGAAUUUAGUGAAUCAUCGAGUCUUUGAACGCACAUUGCGCCCCCUGGUAUUCCGGGGGGCAUGCCUGUCCGAGCGUCAUUGCUGCCCUCAAGCACGGCUUGUGUGUUGGGCUUCCGUCCCUGGCAACGGGGACGGGCCCAAAAGGCAGUGGCGGCACCAUGUCUGGUCCUCGAGCGUAUGGGGCUUUGUCACCCGCUCCCGUAGGUCCAGCUGGCAGCUAGCCUCGCAACCAAUCUUUUUAACCAGGUUGACCUCGGAUCAGGUAGGGAUACCCGCUGAACUUAAGCAUAUCAAUAAGCGGAGGA